UAGGGAAUCUUCCACAAUGGACGCAAGUCUGAUGGAGCAACGCCGCGUGAGUGAAGAAGGUUUUCGGACCGUAAAGCUCUGUUGUUGGUGAAGAAGGAUAGAGGUAGUAACUGGCCUUUAUUUGACGGUAAUCAACCAGAAAGUCACGGCUAACUACGUGCCAGCAGCCGCGGUAAUACGUAGGUGGCAAGCGUUGUCCGGAUUUAUUGGGCGUAAAGCGAGCGCAGGCGGAAGAAUAAGUCUGAUGUGAAAGCCCUCGGCUUAACCGAGGAAUUGCAUCGGAAACUGUUUUCUUGAGUGCAGAAGAGGAGAGUAGAACUCCAUGUGUAGCGGUGGAAUGCGUAGAUAUAUGGAAGAAUACCAGUGGCGAAGGCGGCUCUCUGAUCUGCAACUGACGCUGAGGCUCGAAAGCAUGGGUAGCGAACAGGAUUAGAUACCCUGGUAGUCCAUGCCGUAAACGAUGAGUGCUAAGUGUUGGGAGGCUUCCGCCUCUCAGUGCUGCAGCUAACGCAUUAAGCACUCCGCCUGGGGGAGUACGACCGCAAGGUUGAAAC
RNAcentral lists this ribosomal RNA (554 nucleotides) under uncultured bacterium. Its description in RNAcentral is "partial 16S ribosomal RNA". It matches the Rfam family "Bacterial small subunit ribosomal RNA", at positions 355 to 900 of the family's 1533-position model. The record is from RNAcentral.